RNAcentral lists this ribosomal RNA (589 nucleotides) under uncultured bacterium. Its description in RNAcentral is "bacterial SSU rRNA". It matches the Rfam family "Bacterial small subunit ribosomal RNA", at positions 1 to 639 of the family's 1533-position model. The record is from RNAcentral.
GCCCUUAGAGUUUGAUCCUGGCUCAGAACGAACGCUGGCGGCAGGCUUAACACAUGCAAGUCGAGCGCCCCGCAAGGGGAGCGGCAGACGGGUGAGUAACGCGUGGGAAUCUACCCAACCCUACGGAAUAACGCAUGGAAACGUGUGCUAAUACCGUAUACGCCCUACGGGGGAAAGAUUUAUCGGGGAUGGAUGAGCCCGCGUUGGAUUAGCUAGUUGGUGGGGUAAAGGCCUACCAAGGCGACGAUCCAUAGCUGGUCUGAGAGGAUGAUCAGCCACAUUGGGACUGAGACACGGCCCAAACUCCUACGGGAGGCAGCAGUGGGGAAUAUUGGACAAUGGGCGCAAGCCUGAUCCAGCCAUGCCGCGUGAGUGAUGAAGGCCCUAGGGUUGUAAAGCUCUUUCACCGAUGAAGAUAAUGACGGUAGUCGGAGAAGAAGCCCCGGCUAACUUCGUGCCAGCAGCCGCGGUAAUACGAAGGGGGCUAGCGUUGUUCGGAAUUACUGGGCGUAAAGCGCACGUAGGCGGAUAUUUAAGUCAGGGGUGAAAUCCCGCAGCUCAACUGCGGAACUGCCUUUGAUACUGGGUA